CAGCCGCCGCGGGAAUACGUAGGUGGCAAGCGUUGUCCGAAAUUAUUGGGCGUAAAGGGCUCGCAGGCGGUUUCUUAAGUCUGAUGUGAAAGCCCCCGGCUCAACCGGGGAGGGUCAUUGGAAACUGGGAAACUUGAGUGCAGAAGAGGAGAGUGGAAUUCCACGUGUAGCGGUGAAAUGCGUAGAGAUGUGGAGGAACACCAGUGGCGAAGGCGACUCUCUGGUCUGUAACUGACGCUGAGGAGCGAAAGCGUGGGGAGCGAACAGGAUUAGAUACCCGUGUAGUCCCUGUCUCUUAUAC
This 301-nucleotide ribosomal RNA is filed under the name uncultured bacterium. RNAcentral describes it as "partial 16S ribosomal RNA". It matches the Rfam family "Bacterial small subunit ribosomal RNA", at positions 509 to 807 of the family's 1533-position model. The record is from RNAcentral.